This 1454-nucleotide long non-coding RNA is filed under the name Homo sapiens (human). RNAcentral describes it as "HSALNT0100241". The record is from RNAcentral. Lineage: Eukaryota; Metazoa; Chordata; Mammalia; Primates; Hominidae.
AACAGAACUUAGCCUGGAGCGUGUGUAACGUAAGUCAGCAGGUCUGAACCUUAGACUGUCUGGACCACCUCCUCAUCGCAGAGGUGGCGAUGCUGGGCCUGCCCUGCUCACACGGCUGAAGAGUAUCACUGGGAAGGAAGUGGGCUCGUGAGAUAAUCCAAUCCAGUGCUUCCCAGCCUUUAAUGAGAAAUGGUAAACCAGUGUGAGGAAGAGCACGGAUUCUGGAGUCAGACGGCCGUCCAGUGAUGGAAUUCUGGCUCUGCCACUAUCAGCUGUGAGUUGAGCAAGCGCCCUGAAAACUCUGUGACGUGGAAAUUACAACACGUGAGCACAGAGAACAGCACAGAGUGCAUUCCACAAAUGGUGGCUCUUGGCUGACCCAGACCCAGUGAGAGGCAGCUCUGCCCUGGCCCCAGGCUUUACAGGGCCCCAAUCCAGCCCCUACCCACUGGGGUGAGGACGUCACCUGGAGCUCAUGUGUCUUUCUGUAGACCACAUUCCAGGUAACUGGGACCCCAAAUUUCCUGCCCAAGUUGCUCUGUUCUCACUUUCAGGUCCUGCAUGAAGGGAUUCCUUAGGAUCUGUCUUCCUGGGGAGCACCACACUGCAGGUGACACCACCCGUGGGCCUGAGGGGUGAAGACAGGCAGCUGUUGUGAGUCACGCACAGAGCUUGGGCAUGUGGUCUAAGCAGGCCGAGCCUAUGCAUGAGAGCCCACUCAGGAGCUGGGGUGAGAAGAGGAGGGGGCAGGCCAGAGGCCAGGAGCGUCCUGCACUGCUACAUACUGUGCUGUUAACCUCACGGUGCCCAGAAAUUUUACAUUUGAACCUUGUCUUCAGGUCAUGAUGAAGGUAUAUUUGCAAAGGCAGGAGGAUAUGGACAUAUUUAUCAGUUUGGGACCUCGAGCUGCUGCAUGAAAAUUACAUGUUAGUGGUGGGAAAAAGAAAACAACAACACAAAAGUGGCUUUUCUUGACUAGCUGUCAGUAGUGGGAGGGGUGCUGCGGAGUCGGAAACCAUUUCUCCUGUGGCUGGCAGUUGCCACUUAUACGGAUCUACUUAUUUGGAGGAGAAAAGAGCUGACACAAAAGGCUCUCUCUGAAAUUCUGUGCGUAGAACAAAGCGGCACACGACGAGAUGUAGAAUUCCAUUAGAGGACGGCCCCAGCACUCGCUGUCCUUCACAACGACCACCCCACAGGCGCAUGAAUAGAAGCCUCAGCCACCCACAGCCUCAGUGCCCGGCAGCGUGUCUCCAGGAAGGAAAGGCCCGGGCACAAUGCAUUUCUCUCAGGUUUGGCUCAGCUUCCCCGGGGAUUUGCACCAUCACAGAGAAACCUAUCUCUCCUCCAGGGACCCACAGUUGGGGAGGCCACUCCAUGCUGUCACCCCUUCCUGUCCCUCUGAAACGUUUCUUCCUUCCACUCAUUUCUCCUAGAUGAAAUUUUAACUAGUA